Molecule: ribosomal RNA, 440 nt
Filed under: uncultured bacterium
Lineage: Bacteria
Description: partial 16S ribosomal RNA
Rfam family: Bacterial small subunit ribosomal RNA
Source: RNAcentral
CCUACGGGAGGCAGCAGUGGGGGAUAUUGCACAAUGGGGGGAACCCUGAUGCAGCGACGCCGCGUGGGUGAAGGAGUCUUUCGGUAUGUAAAGCCCUAUCGGCAGGGAAGAAUUUAGACGGUACCUGACUACGCAGCCCCGGCUAACUACGUGCCAGCAGCCGCGGUAAUACGUAGGGGGCAAGCGUUAUCCGGAUUCACUGGGUUUACAGGGUGCGUAGGCGGAGUGUCAAGUCAGCGGUAAAAUUUCGGGGCUCAACCCCGUCGUGCCGUUGAAACUGACACCCUUGAGUGAGUGAGAAGUAAGCGGAAUGCGUGGUGUAGCGGUGAAAUGCAUAGAUAUCACGCAGAACGCCGAUUGCGAAGGCAGCUUACCGGCGCUCAACUGACGCUGAGGCACGAAAGUGCGGGUAUCGAACAGGAUUAGAUACCCGGGUAGUC